GAUGAACGCUGGCGGCGUGCCUAAUACAUGCAAGUCGAGCGAACGGACGAGAAGCUUGCUUCUCUGAUGUUAGCGGCGGACGGGUGAGUAACACGUGGAUAACCUACCUAUAAGACUGGGAUAACUUCGGGAAACCGGAGCUAAUACCGGAUAAUAUUUUGAACCGCAUGGUUCAAAAGUGAAAGACGGUCUUGCUGUCACUUAUAGAUGGAUCCGCGCUGCAUUAGCUAGUUGGUAAGGUAACGGCUUACCAAGGCAACGAUGCAUAGCCGACCUGAGAGGGUGCUCGGCCACACUGGAACUGAGACACGGUCCAGACUCCUACGGGAGGCAGCAGUAGGGAAUCUUCCGAAAUGGGCGAAAGCCUGACGGAGCAACGCCGCGUGAGUGAUGAAGGUCUUCGGAUCGUAAAACGCUGUUAUUAGGGAAGAACAUAUGUGUAAGUAACUGUGCACAUCUUGACGGUACCUAAUCAGAAAGCCACGGCUAACUACGU
This 496-nucleotide ribosomal RNA is filed under the name uncultured bacterium. RNAcentral's name for it is "partial 16S ribosomal RNA". It matches the Rfam family "Bacterial small subunit ribosomal RNA", at positions 28 to 506 of the family's 1533-position model. The record is from RNAcentral.